This 253-nucleotide ribosomal RNA is filed under the name uncultured bacterium. RNAcentral's name for it is "partial 16S ribosomal RNA". It matches the Rfam family "Bacterial small subunit ribosomal RNA", at positions 524 to 776 of the family's 1533-position model. The record is from RNAcentral.
UACGUAGGGUGCUAGCGUUGUUCGGAUUUACUGGGCGUAAAGCGCACGUAGGCGGACUUUUAAGUCAGGGGUGAAAGCCCUGGGCUCAACCUGGGAAUGGCAUUUGAUACUGGAUAGCUAGAGUAUGGUAGAGGUGAGUGGAAUUUCAGGUGUAGCGGUGAAAUGCGUAGAGAUCUGAAGGAACAUCAGUGGCGAAGGCGACUCACUGGGCCAUUACUGACACUGAGGUGCGAAAGCGUGGGUAGCAAACAGG